CGCGUAGGCGGCUAUAUAAGUUGGAUGUGAAAGCCCCGGGCUUAACCUGGGAUGGUCAUUCAAAACUGUGUAGCUAGAAUGUGGUAGAGGGUAGUGGAAUUCCUAGUGUAGCGGUGAAAUGCGUAGAUAUUAGGAGGAACAUCAGUGGCGAAGGCGACUGCCUGGACUGACAUUGACGCUGAGGUGCGAAAGCGUGGGUAGCGAACA
This 207-nucleotide ribosomal RNA is filed under the name uncultured bacterium. RNAcentral's name for it is "partial 16S ribosomal RNA". It matches the Rfam family "Bacterial small subunit ribosomal RNA", at positions 568 to 774 of the family's 1533-position model. The record is from RNAcentral.